AUCUUUUUAAACCUUUAUCGACCCUUUUUGGUGGUAAUGCAGAUGAGACGUCGAGAAGAUGGAUUUUCUCAUCUUUAAAUAUCGUCACAAGUCUCCGUCGGAUGUUGCCCCUGCUCCUGGUGCGAACGAAACUCGCUGGAGUGAAUUGAUAAUGCGCCAACAAAAUACUUCUGGUAGUAAAAAGGGACCAUCACUGGAAAACGGAAAGUGACAAUCGCUGCCGUCACCGAGACUCGUCAUCAACGUGGAUCAUGGUAUUGUUUGUAUUGUUUCGUUUGUGUUUGUUAACCCGUUGUCUGCCACGCCUUGGUUUUCCCCUAGCUCCUUAGCACGGGCUGCGUGCGCUGUUCGGCCUCGUGGUUUUCAUGCCGCGGAAUCGGAGAGUCGCACCCGCCCAAAAUUUGCCGCAAGGCGCCUGUUAGGCAAUGCACCAUAGGGACUUCCCCUUGUCGAUGCGGUGAUGGAUUCUCCUGUCACCGUGUCAGCCCGGACUUGUCAGCAAUGGCAAGUCCCACCUUGGCCAGGGAUCCUUCAGACGUGGCACGUAGAAUAGUAGAGAACAAUCUACGGGUUGUAUGGCGUGGUAGUCAACGGGUUAAUUUACGUAUAUGUAUGUAUGUUUAUAUGUGUCUUUAAAAUGUGUGGUGGAAUUGUGGGUGGAGGUGGGACAAUA
Molecule: long non-coding RNA, 673 nt
Organism: Daphnia pulicaria
Lineage: Eukaryota; Metazoa; Arthropoda; Branchiopoda; Diplostraca; Daphniidae
Exons: 3
Source: RefSeq, a predicted model, not a curated record